This 440-nucleotide ribosomal RNA is filed under the name uncultured bacterium. RNAcentral's name for it is "bacterial SSU rRNA". It matches the Rfam family "Bacterial small subunit ribosomal RNA", at positions 338 to 775 of the family's 1533-position model. The record is from RNAcentral.
CCUACGGGAGGCAGCAGUAAGGAAUAUUGGACAAUGGACGAAAGUCUGAUCCAGCCAUGCCGCGUGCAGGAUGAAAGCCCUACGGGUUGUAAACUGCUUUUAUACAGGAAGAAACACUCCGACGUGUCGGAGCUUGACGGUACUGUAAGAAUAAGGAUCGGCUAACUCCGUGCCAGCAGCCGCGGUAAUACGGAGGAUCCAAGCGUUAUCCGGAAUCAUUGGGUUUAAAGGGUCCGCAGGCUGUUUUUUAAGUCAGAGGUGAAAUCCUACAGCUCAACUGUAGAACUGCCUUUGAUACUGAAAAACUUGAGUUAUUGUGAAGUGGUUAGAAUGUGUGGUGUAGCGGUGAAAUGCAUAGAUAUCACACAGAAUACCGAUUGCGAAGGCAGAUCACUAACAAUAUACUGACGCUCAUGGACGAAAGCGUGGGGAGCGAACAG